GGUUACCAUAUUGAUAGUUACAUGUGUUGCUUGAGACGUAUACAGUCUCGGCGUCAAUAUGACACAAACUACGCUAUCAUGUCAAUCUCGUUUUUUGUGAGUUUGCACUACUUAUUUAUUUUUUUAUUUUUUUUGCAUUUAAUUUAGUCUAUGACCAAUAUUUUUAUUUUAUUUUUCAAGCAUCCAUAGUAAAAUUUUGGGAACAGGAGUACGGGGGCAACAGGAGUUUUUUUGCGCCUUCUAUCGCAUCUAUCUCGGAAGAGUGGACCGGUUUCAUCGACGGGCGCACUGACAAGAGUCUCCCUUGGUGGACGGUCGAUUAUGUGUUGCUCCCUUGUAAUGUAGCGAAUUCUCACUGGUUUCUCUUAAAGAUUUGCUUGAAAGAUAGGAGAAUUGUCAUAUAUGACUCCAAUGCCAUGAAUGAAGACAGUCGUAGGAGCAGGGUCGAAGUUAUACAACCACUUGUGAGCCUCUUACCCAUUCUACUAAAGAAAACUGCAUAUUAUGAACAUGUAACCACAACUGCGACGCUAGACAGAGAUUGGGAAGUGGAGAAUACUGAUCCUCAGAAGUUGCCUCAACAACCGGAUGGGGCCAGCUGCGGGUGCUACGUUAUCAAAUACGUCGAGGACAUACUGAGGCAUAAUGAGGAUCACUGGCAGAUGCACCCGACUGUGGAUGUCUGUACCCUCCGGAGACAGAUUGGAAUAUUUUUGUAUAGACAUAGUACGAUAGUACGGUAGUAUACUUGUAGAUUAAUAGAUUAGAAAAUUCUUCGUUUUGUGUUUUUAUUUUCAUCUAGUUUAAAUGUUGUAUAUAUUUUUGUAUAGGUAUAGCAAAUAGCAAAUUAUGUAUUGUUCACUUGAUGAAAUGUGGUUUGUGGUGUUGUUGAGGGUAAGGGAUAAGUGGUUGUGGUGGCAGUAUGUUGUUGGGAAGAGAGACUGAGU
Molecule: long non-coding RNA, 947 nt
Organism: Diospyros lotus (date-plum)
Lineage: Eukaryota; Viridiplantae; Streptophyta; Magnoliopsida; Ericales; Ebenaceae
Exons: 3
Source: RefSeq, a predicted model, not a curated record